AUGCUGGGAACAGUGUUGAAAGCCCUUGCUAUGAAAUUUUACACACACAUAUUAAAAGUUAUAGAAUGUUAUAUAGCGUGUAACAGCGCAAAUAAAUAUACAACUUUCAGCAACGGAUCUCUUGGCUCUCGCAUCGAUGAAGAACGCAGCGAAAUGCGAUAAGUAAUGUGAAUUGCAGAAUUCAGUGAAUCAUCGAAUCUUUGAACGCACCUUGCGCUCCUUGGUAUUCUGAGGAGCAUGCCUGUUUGAGUGUCAUGAAAUUCUCAACUGCUUCAACUUUUGUGGUUGAAGUGAAGUUGGACUUGGAGGAAUCAUUGCUGGCGUGACCUUUUAGGUUGCUUGUUAGCUCCUCUUAAAUGGAUGAACUUUCCAUUUACAAAGUAACAUCAAUGUGAUAAUUAUCUACGUUGGAUGAGUUUGUACAAGGAAAGGUAUAUCUUGGAGUUCAAAUCCUUGAUGAAACAAAUGACAAAUUUGACCUCAAAUCAGGUAGGACUACCCGCUGAACUUAAGCAUAUCAAUAAGCCGGAGGAA
This 534-nucleotide ribosomal RNA is filed under the name uncultured Pseudotomentella. RNAcentral's name for it is "eukaryotic LSU rRNA". The stretch from base 102 to 255 matches the Rfam family "5.8S ribosomal RNA". The record is from RNAcentral. Lineage: Eukaryota; Fungi; Basidiomycota; Agaricomycetes; Thelephorales; Thelephoraceae.